GACGAACGCUGGCGGCGUGCUUAACACAUGCAAGUCGAACGGAAAGGCACUGCUUUUGUGGGGUGCUCGAGUGGCGAACGGGUGAGUAACACGUGAGUAACCUGCCCUUGACUUUGGGAUAACUUCAGGAAACUGGGGCUAAUACCGGAUAGGAGCUCCUGCUGCAUGGUGGGGGUUGGAAAGUUUCGGCGGUUGGGGAUGGACUCGCGGCUUAUCAGCUUGUUGGUGGGGUAGUGGCUUACCAAGGCUUUGACGGGUAGCCGGCCUGAGAGGGUGACCGGCCACAUUGGGACUGAGAUACGGCCCAGACUCCUACGGGAGGCAGCAGUGGGGAAUAUUGCACAAUGGGCGGAAGCCUGAUGCAGCAACGCCGCGUGCGGGAUGAAGGCCGUCGGGUUGUAAACCGCUUUCGCCUGUGACGAAGCGUGAGUGACGGUAAUGGGUAAAGAAGCACCGGCUAACUACGUG
Molecule: ribosomal RNA, 468 nt
Filed under: uncultured bacterium
Lineage: Bacteria
Description: partial 16S ribosomal RNA
Rfam family: Bacterial small subunit ribosomal RNA
Source: RNAcentral